Molecule: ribosomal RNA, 317 nt
Filed under: uncultured bacterium
Lineage: Bacteria
Description: bacterial SSU rRNA
Rfam family: Bacterial small subunit ribosomal RNA
Source: RNAcentral
AUUGAACGCUGGCGGCAUGCCUUACACAUGCAAGUCGAACGGCAGCACGGGAGCAAUCCUGGUGGCGAGUGGCGAACGGGUGAGUAAUAUAUCGGAACGUGCCCGGUCGUGGGGGAUAACGUAGCGAAAGCUACGCUAAUACCGCAUACGAUCUACGGAUGAAAGCGGGGGAUCGCAAGACCUCGCGCGAUUGGAGCGGCCGAUAUCAGAUUAGGUAGUUGGUUGAGGUAAAGGCUCACCAAGCCGACGAUCUGUAGCUGGUCUGAGAGGACGACCAGCCACACUGGAACUGAGACACGGUCCAGACUCCUACGGGA